Molecule: ribosomal RNA, 254 nt
Filed under: uncultured bacterium
Lineage: Bacteria
Description: partial 16S ribosomal RNA
Rfam family: Bacterial small subunit ribosomal RNA
Source: RNAcentral
UACGUAGGGGGCAAGCGUUUGUCCGGAGUUACUGGGCGUAAAGCGCACGCAGGCGGUCUCUUAAGUUUGGAGUGACAGUUGGUGGCUUAACUGCCAAAGUGCUUCGAAAACUGAGAGACUUGAGGGCUUCAGAGGGACACGGAAUUCCGGGUGGAGUGGUGAAAUGCGUAGAGAUCCGGAGGAACACCAAAGGCGAAGGCAGUGUCCUGGGGAGUACCUGACGCUCAGGUGCGAAAGCCAGGGGAGCGAACGGG